This 318-nucleotide ribosomal RNA is filed under the name uncultured bacterium. RNAcentral's name for it is "bacterial SSU rRNA". It matches the Rfam family "Bacterial small subunit ribosomal RNA", at positions 28 to 349 of the family's 1533-position model. The record is from RNAcentral.
GACGAACGCUGGCGGCGUGCUUAACACAUGCAAGUCGAGCGGUAAGGCCCUUUCGGGGUACACGAGCGGCGAACGGGUGAGUAACACGUGGGUGACCUGCCCUCAGCUCUGGGAUAAGCCUGGGAAACCGGGUCUAAUACUGGAUAUGACUCCAUGACGCAUGUUGUGGGGUGGAAAGCCUUGUGCGGCUGAGGAUGGGCCCGCGGCCUAUCAGCUUGUUGGUGGGGUGAGGCCUACCAAGGCGACGACGGGUAGCCGGCCUGAGAGGGCGACCGGCCACACUGGGACUGAGACACGGCCCAGACUCCUACGGGAGGC